Molecule: non-coding RNA, 163 nt
Organism: Pelobates cultripes (western spadefoot toad)
Lineage: Eukaryota; Metazoa; Chordata; Amphibia; Anura; Pelobatidae
Source: the annotation of a GenBank genome assembly
GCACAUUCCAGCCAAUCAGCAGCAGACCCUCCCUCCCAGACCCUCCCACCUCCUGGACAGCUCACUAAGAAUGCAGCUUCACAAUGAAUGUAAAAUGGAUGCUGUCCAGGAGGUGGGAGGGUCUGGGAGGGAGGGUCUGCUGCUGAUUGGCUGGAAUGUGUCU